This 434-nucleotide ribosomal RNA is filed under the name uncultured Lachnospiraceae bacterium. RNAcentral describes it as "bacterial SSU rRNA". It matches the Rfam family "Bacterial small subunit ribosomal RNA", at positions 341 to 792 of the family's 1533-position model. The record is from RNAcentral. Lineage: Bacteria; Bacillati; Bacillota; Clostridia; Lachnospirales; Lachnospiraceae.
ACGGGAGGCAGCAGUGGGGAAUAUUGGACAAUGGGGGAAACCCUGAUCCAGCGACGCCGCGUGAGUGAAGAAGUAUUUCGGUAUGUAAAGCUCUAUCAGUAGGGAAGAAAAUGACGGUACCUAACUAAGAAGCUCCGGCUAAAUACGUGCCAGCAGCCGCGGUAAUACGUAUGGAGCAAGCGUUAUCCGGAUUUACUGGGUGUAAAGGGAGCGUAGACGGCAAAGCAAGUCUGAUGUGAAAUAUUGGGGCUCAACCCCGAAACUGCAUUGGAAACUGUUUAGCUAGAGUGCAGGAGAGGUAAGUGGAAUUCCUAGUGUAGCGGUGAAAUGCGUAGAUAUUAGGAGGAACACCAGUGGCGAAGGCGGCUUUCUGGACUGUAACUGACACUGAGGCACGAAAGCGUGGGGAGCAAACAGGAUUAGAUACCCUGGUA